GUGGGGAAUAUUGGACAAUGGGCGCAAGCCUGAUCCAGCCAUGCCGCGUGCAGGAAGACGCAUCUAUGGUGUGUAAACUGCUUUUGUACGGGAAGAAACACUCCCUCGUGAGGGAGCUUGACGGUACCGUAAGAAUAAGGAUCGGCUAACUCCGUGCCAGCAGCCGCGGUAAUACGGAGGAUCCAAGCGUUAUCCGGAAUCAUUGGGUUUAAAGGGUCCGUAGGCGGUUUAAUAAGUCAGUGGUGAAAGCCCAUCGCUCAACGAUGGAACGGCCAUUGAUACUGUUAGACUUGAAUUACAAGGAAGUAACUAGAAUAUGUAGUGUAGCGGUGAAAUGCUUAGAUAUUACAUGGAAUACCAAUUGCGAAGGCAGGUUACUACUUGUGGAUUGACGCUGAUGGACGAAAGCGUGGGGAGCGAACAGGAUUAGAUACCCUUGUAGUCC
Molecule: ribosomal RNA, 445 nt
Filed under: uncultured bacterium
Lineage: Bacteria
Description: partial 16S ribosomal RNA
Rfam family: Bacterial small subunit ribosomal RNA
Source: RNAcentral